AUUCCCCUAGUAGCGGCGAGCGAAGCGGGAAGAGCUCAAAUUUGUAAUCUGGCGCUUUCAGCGUCCGAGUUGUAAUCUCUAGAAAUGUUUUCCGCGUUGGACCGCACACAAGUCUGUUGGAAUACAGGCGGCACAGUGGUGAGGUGCGCCCCGUUCAUGGUGCGGAUGCCCAAUGCUUUGUGAUACAUUUUCGAAGAGUCGAGUUGUUUGGGAAUGCAGCUCAAAUUGGGUGGUAAAUUCCAUCUAAAGCUAAAUAUUGGCGAGAGACCGAUAGCGAACAAGUACCGUGAGGGAAAGAUGAAAAGCACUUUGGAAAGAGAGUUAACAGUACGUGAAAUUGUUGGAAGGGAAACGCUUGAAGUCAGACUUGCUGUUCGGAGUUCAGCCGCAAGGUGUACUCUCCGAGUUGCAGGCCAGCAUCAGUUUUCUGGGGUGGAAAAUCACAGAUUGAAGGUAGCAGUUUCGGCUGUGUUAUAGCUUUCUGUAGGAUACAUCCUGGGGGACUGAGGAACGCAGUGUGCUUUUAGCGGGGGUUUCGACCUCUUCACACUUAGGAUGCG
This 560-nucleotide ribosomal RNA is filed under the name Rhodosporidiobolus lusitaniae. Its description in RNAcentral is "eukaryotic LSU rRNA". It matches the Rfam family "Eukaryotic large subunit ribosomal RNA", at positions 74 to 627 of the family's 3401-position model. Lineage: Eukaryota; Fungi; Basidiomycota; Microbotryomycetes; Sporidiobolales; Sporidiobolaceae. The record is from RNAcentral.